UUACAAUUCCAUUUGAUACUAAUGUUGACAUCAAUAUUAGGAAUGACAAUGUCACUUUAGAAACAAUUGAAGAAGUGUUUUUAGGCCUGAUGAUGAACACUGGGUAUAUAUUUGGCCAACACUACCCAACUAUUUAUAUUGAAGACAAUGAUGAUUCUAACACUCUCUGUCAGUCCUACAUUCCUUGAAGUUUCAGAAAGUGGUAUUUUUUCAUUUACUGUGUCAGUAAAGAUAAAGAGACAGCAGUACCAGUAAAUAUCACAGUAACGCCACUAACCUACCAGCAAUACUCUAACAAAACUGCUACUAAUAACAAUUUACCUUCACUGAGUAGCAUAACAAAUGCUCCUUCUAAUCCUGCUGAAGAACAAGAUUUUGAUAGUGCUAGUGUACAGUUAAGCCUUGAUACUUCGAUUGGUACAUUUUCUGUGAGUAUGAAUGGGCUAGUCAAUGAUGAUAACAUUGUUGCAGAUCCCGAAGGACUCAUCUUGUUA
Molecule: long non-coding RNA, 494 nt
Organism: Amphimedon queenslandica
Lineage: Eukaryota; Metazoa; Porifera; Demospongiae; Haplosclerida; Niphatidae
Exons: 3
Source: RefSeq, a predicted model, not a curated record